Molecule: long non-coding RNA, 4925 nt
Filed under: Homo sapiens (human)
Lineage: Eukaryota; Metazoa; Chordata; Mammalia; Primates; Hominidae
Description: HSALNT0241908
Source: RNAcentral
CUUGACUCCCGCUAAUUUUCAUUGAUUUAUGGGGCUUGAAAGCAUUUAUUUUCUGCUCAGAGGCAGCCCAGCUCCUGCUAAGGAGGUGCAGGACUCCCCUAAAUGCUGUCACCAUGGAGAGGCGAGCAGCAGAGGUGGCUCUCAGGGCAACAGCUACAUUUCCUGCUCAGUUCCAGUUGCUACCUAAGAGCUGGGAGGGUCCAAUGGGAGCUGCUGGCCCUGCUGUGACAGCCUCCCCACUCCUGUCCCCAGAGCCUGCCUGCUUCUGGUCACAGCUACUUGAGUUUAACACUCCUGGCAGCUUAGCACUCUGGUUUUUAUGUGUGAAGCCGUAAUAUUUGGUGAGCUGUGAGAUGAGGUGGCAAGAUUUGCAACUGGCAUUCCCUUCCGGCCCUGCCCUGUGAUUCAGGCUUCAGGCCCAUGAGGACCUCCUGGACUAAGAGCCAGUCUCACUGCCACCUGUCAGAGCCUUCUUCAAGGGAGUAAACAGAGGGGCAGGACUCACCUCACUUCGUGCUGCCAGGGCUAGAGCUAUCCUUUCUCCCCACUCCAUUCCCACCUUGCUGGGUGAGCCUGCAGUUUUUCCAAGGCAGGGCCAGCCUGUCCUGUGCUGCAAGAUGUAUUAAUCAAUUUGAUGGGGAUGUUAAAGCUUUCUCUUUGCAACUAAUUAUGGCCUGAUUUAUAGGCCUGGCCUUGGUUUGAUAGAGCUCUCCUCAUGACAGGGAUGAAUGUGGUACUGGCAUGGACCCCUUCAUCUCUUCCAUUUCUCUCUCUUCCUCCCUCCUCCCUCCCUCCCACGGCUCCUGCCUCCUGCCUCUGCUCUUGGUUCCCACAGGAACACCCUAAUGACAUGUUGACAAGCUAGUGAAGCAUGGCUCCCUCUCUGUUGCAUCUGCCUCUGGCACCACCAUUCCUCCUGUAUUCUCUGACAUGGGCAGAUGGGUGCUGUGCUGGAGGAAGCUCUGUACACCCUUUCCUUCUGGAAACAAGAAACAAUAAAAAUAUUUUGGGUUGAUGCAGCAUCUUCCUUCCCAAACAUUCCAAGAGCUUGUUGAAAUAAACUUUAUCCCUGAUGGAACUUCCAGCCACAUCCUGCUCCUCCCUCACAUGGAAACAGGCAGCACCUAGGCCAUCAUCUGCUCAGACUUUCCUUCAGAGGAAAAGAGAAACCACAAACAGCUGCCGUGUGGGCCCUCCUGCCAGAUUCCGGAUUCCAGCUCAGACCACGGAUCUCGAUGACUUCAUUGGUAUCUGAGCUGGAACUCUCUUCUCCAGGGACAGAGAGGCCGCCAGCAUCCCUGCAGAGCCCCCAGAAAAAGAGGAAGCUGCAUGGUGGGUUCACACCUGGGCCAGUACAAAAAGGUCAUGCUUGGAGAGAUACACCAAGAUCUCCACCUGAGGGCUGAGUCCUGGCCCAGGGCUUGCUUCACUAGUUGGCAGCCUGGGGUGAGUCCCUCUCCCCACCUCCACCCUGCCCCUUCAAAAAGCCUGUUGCUCAUUGAAUCAAAAGACAUUCCUAAGUGAGAGUCUCAUUCCCUUUCAUCUGGAUCCAAAUGGAAAUGCAAAUACCAUGGGACAGAAUGUGCCUCUGUGGGAAUGAAUUUAUCAGACCCUGUCCACAGCAGUUUUGCUGAAAGAGAAAUUUAGUUUUUCUGAGAGAGCCUGGUGAGGCAAUGGAGUUAAGGGGCCAAAUGGUUCAAAACUUCUACAAGGUUAGUGCUGGAGGGGAAGCUUCAGCAAUCAUGAGCCAGACUCCUCCUGUUGCAGAUGAGGAAACCAAAGCCCAGAGAGGAGUGUCUUUCACAGCAUCAUACAGCAAGUUAAUAUGGCUUAGGAUGCUAGAACUUAGGUGUCCCGACUCUAAGCCUGGUGCCAGUUGCAGAAAACAAAAGCCCAAGGCCUGAAAGAUAAACUUGGCCUCCUUCAAAAUCUGAUGGGGGCUGGCACUUUCUGCCUUCAGAAUAUUUGUUUCCACCAGGAGUGAAUCUCAGUUCUUGGCUGUGAGCAGUUGCAGAGGUCACAUGAGUGGACAAAAAAGGAAUGUGAGUGAGAAGGGAGAUGGGGUGAAGAUCUUCCUGAACAAUGACUUAGCGAGGACAAGUCUGAAUCUCCAACUUCAUCAGACUCUGUGAACGGUGUUAAAUCUUGACUUAGGGGCUAUGGGCUUUUGCCUCUCUUUGUAGCCACAGUUGCCCAAAGAGAACUAGUAAUGCUGUUAUCUUCAGAUGCAAAGGAUAACACAUUAGUAAAUUAUUCCUUGCUUAUACUUCUAAUGUCACAUUCCCCUUGUCUUAUAGUUGUUUUGUGAUGAAAGAAACUAAUGGGAUCUUAGAAUCAGACCUGGGUUACAUGGCUUAAACUUUUUAAAAAAAAUUUAAUUGUGGUAAAAUAUGCAUAACAUAAAAUUCACCAUCUUAAUGAUUGUUAAGUGUAUAGUUUAGCAGUGUUAAGUAUAUUGACGUUAUAUUGCAACCUUUUUUCAUCUUGAACAACUGAAGCUGUACCCAUUAAACAACGGUUCCUCAUUCUCCAUUCCCUUUCAGUCCCUGACAACCACCACUCUACUUUCCAUCACCAUGAAUUUGAUGACUCAUGAGUGGAACCACACAGUAUUUGUCCUUUUGUGAAUCACUUAUUUCACUUAGCAUAAUGUCCUCACAAGGUUCAUUCAUGUUGUAGCACAUGUCAAAAUUUCUUUCCUUUUUUUUUUUUUUUUUUUUUUGAGAUGGAGUCUCAUGCUCUUUCCCCCAGGCUGGAGUGCAGUGGCAUGAUCUGGGCUCAUUGCAACCUCCGCCUCCUGGGUUCAUGCCAUUCUCCUGCCACAACCUCCCGAGUAGCUGGGACUACAGGUGUGCGCCACCACGCCCAGCUAAUUUUUUGUAUUUUUAGUAGAGACGGCGUUUCACCAUGUUAGCCAGGAUGGUCUCGAUCUCCUGACCUCAUGAUCUGCCUGCCUCGGCCUCCCAAAGUGCUGGGAUUACAGGCGUGAGCCACCAUGCCCGGCCUUCAAUUUCUUUCCUUUUUAAGGCUGAAUAAUAUUCCAUUUUAUGGAUAUGCCACAUUUUGUUUAUCUAUUUAUCCACUGAUGGACACUUGGGUUGCUUCCACUUUUUGGCCAUUGUGAAUAAUGCUGCUAUGAACAUGGGUGUACAGAUAUCUUUUUGAGACCCUGACUUCCUCAAUUCUUUUGGAUAUAUAUCCAGAAGUAGAACUGGUGAAUCCUAUGGUAGUUCUAUUAUCAAGUUUUGGAAGAAUAACCAUACUGUUGGCUUAAACUUAUUGGGCUUUUAUUUUCCUCAUCUAUAAAGUAGACUUGAGGUUGUUGUGAGUAUUAAAGAAAUCAUGUGCAUAAAGCUCUUGGCUCAAUGCCUGGUACAUGGUUGAAAUUUAAGAACUGGUUGUUUCCUAUGAACUCUUGAAGACAGAGACUGUUUCAUUUCGGUAUCUAACCAUUUAGCAUGGCGCCAGACAUAUAGUAGGGGUUCACUAUAUGACUGUUAGUGAAUGAAUGAAUAAUGAACAAACAUAUCCUUGUAACUUUGAAGUAUGGCCGGGAGCAGUGGCUCAUGCCUGUAAUCCCAGUACUUUGGGAGGCUAAGGCAGGCGGAUCACCUUAGGUCAAGAGUUCGAGGCCUGGCCAACAUGGCGAAACCCUGUCUCUACCAAAAAUACAAAAAUUAGCUGGGCAUGGUGGCAGGCACCUGUAAUCCCAGCUACUUGGGAAGCUGAGGGAGGAGAAUCACUUGAACCUGGGAGGCAGAGGUUGCAAUGAGCCGAGAUCGUGCCAUUGCACUCCAGCCUGGGAGACAAGAGCGAGACUCCAUCUCAAAAAAAAAAAACAAAAAAAACCUUUGAAGUACAUAGAAUAAUUCCUGCACAUUGUGGGUGUUUAAUAAAUUUCAAAUGAAUGCAUGUAAUAAUCCUAUAUGAAGCCUACUUCUUCUGCAUCCUACUUCAUGAGAAAAGGAAUUUGCUCAUGUCCCUAAAGUUCCUGAAGGACAAUUCAGAAUCAAGUAUUUGACCUACUCCCAACUUUCUGGGGAUCCUCCUCUUUCACCAUUCAUGGCAAAUUCUACUGUGCAAGGGAUACAAAGGAGGAAGAUCUCCAUGUGAGAGUAACCGAGCACUUCAGUCUGCACUGUGCUUGCUAAGUUUUCUCUCUUUCUACCAUGUUCACAGAACACUUGCUGUGAGCUCCAAAGCAUGUUGAAGAGCGGGGCUGUCCAUGUUGAAUCCUGUUAGUCAUGCAGCUGAGGGAAUUCCAAUCACCUGACCCGGGUCUGACCGCAGUUACCAGUCUCAAGUCUGAGCAGCGUCUCCAGUGCUGGGCUGCCUUCUUGACUCCAGGAGGCAUGCCUGCUCUUACAAUGAAACUCAAGUCUUUUUUUUUCCUUCCCACAAGUUUGGCUUCUACUUUUCUAAGUGCUGUUCAUCAUAUACUCUGUGUUGUAAGUACUCAGCUCUCUAGCAUCUCUUUAUACUACCUUUUAUUCUUCUGGAAUAUCCUUCCUUCCCACCCACAAGCAUAUUAGGCAAAACUUGCCCACCGUGGUAACUGGAAACAGGACUGAGGGGAAGGAAAACUCUCUCCCAGGUGCAUGGAGUGGGAACUCAUUUAGGGCAUCUUUAGUGCCAUACAUAGAACCUGGAAUACAAUAGGAGCUCAAUUAAUACAUGUUAAAUGGAUAAAUAUUGGUUAAAUGCAUCAUGUUUCUAUACAAUUCUCUUUAAACUAUAAACUCCCCAAGCACAAAGUUAAGAACUAUGUCUCUCUUAUCAGACAAGAUGCCUCCUAACCCAGAUUAUACAGGAGCAUUGUGAGGGCAAGCCCAUGCCAACUCCACAUUCUGUGAGCUCCCAAAACUCCACCAAGGACCUUGCUUAAUGAUGACUUAGACCAGGGUUUCUCGACCUCAGCAUUAUUG